Molecule: ribosomal RNA, 499 nt
Filed under: Fusarium sp. N55
Lineage: Eukaryota; Fungi; Ascomycota; Sordariomycetes; Hypocreales; Nectriaceae
Description: SSU rRNA
Rfam family: Eukaryotic small subunit ribosomal RNA
Source: RNAcentral
AAGCAAUUAUACAGCGAAACUGCGAAUGGCUCAUUAUAUAAGUUAUCGUUUAUUUGAUAGUACCUUACUACUUGGAUAACCGUGGUAAUUCUAGAGCUAAUACAUGCUAAAAAUCCCGACUUCGGAAGGGAUGUAUUUAUUAGAUUAAAAACCAAUGCCCUCCGGGGCUCACUGGUGAUUCAUGAUAACUCCUCGAAUCGCAUGGCCUUGCGCCGGCGAUGGUUCAUUCAAAUUUCUUCCCUAUCAACUUUCGAUGUUUGGGUAUUGGCCAAACAUGGUUGCAACGGGUAACGGAGGGUUAGGGCUCGACCCCGGAGAAGGAGCCUGAGAAACGGCUACUACAUCCAAGGAAGGCAGCAGGCGCGCAAAUUACCCAAUCCCGACUCGGGGAGGUAGUGACAAUAAAUACUGAUACAGGGCUCUUUUGGGUCUUGUAAUUGGAAUGAGUACAAUUUAAAUCCCUUAACGAGGAACAAUUGGAGGGCAAGUCUGGGCCUGA